GACGAACGCUGGCGGCGUGCUUAACACAUGCAAGUCGAACGGUAAGGCCCUUCGGGGUACACGAGUGGCGAACGGGUGAGUAACACGUGGGUGAUCUGCCCUGCACUUCGGGAUCAGCCUGGGAAACUGGGUCUAAUACCGGAUAGGACCACUGCCUGCAUGGGUGGUGGUGGAAAGCUUGUGCGGUGUGGGAUGGGCCCGCGGCCUAUCAGCUUGUUGGUGGGGUGAUGGCCUACCAAGGCGACGACGGGUAGCCGGCGUGAGAGGGUGACCGGGCACACUGGGACUGAGGUACGGCCCAGACUCCUACGGGAGGCAGCAGUGGGGAAUAUUGCACAAUGGGCGCAAGCCUGAUGCAGCGACGCCGCGUGAGGGAUGACGGCCUUCGGGUUGUAAACCUCUUUCAGCACCGACGAAGCGCAAGUGACGGUAGGUGCAGAAGAAGGACCGGCCAACUACGUGCCAGCAGCCGCCGUAA
This 478-nucleotide ribosomal RNA is filed under the name uncultured bacterium. RNAcentral's name for it is "partial 16S ribosomal RNA". It matches the Rfam family "Bacterial small subunit ribosomal RNA", at positions 28 to 523 of the family's 1533-position model. The record is from RNAcentral.